Molecule: non-coding RNA, 150 nt
Filed under: Arthrobacter cupressi
Lineage: Bacteria; Bacillati; Actinomycetota; Actinomycetes; Micrococcales; Micrococcaceae
Also listed under: 1 other name
Description: FMN sequence
Rfam family: FMN riboswitch aptamer (RFN element)
About the family: The RFN element is a highly conserved domain that is found frequently in the 5'-untranslated regions of prokaryotic mRNAs that encode for flavin mononucleotide (FMN) biosynthesis and transport proteins.
Source: RNAcentral
UUACGUGCUCCGGGGUCGGUGUAAUUCCGAACCGGCGGUCAUAGUCCGCGACCCGCGAGCCUUCGUUUCCGGCCAGGAAGCGGCGGCAAACGGUUGAACUGGUGGAAUUCCAGUACCGACAGUCAAAGUCUGGAUGGGAGAAGCACGUAC